UCCUGUGGGGUGGGGGGGACACACACACACACACAAGGGUGUUUUUGGGGUCCCCUUUCGUGGUUUGAGGGGGGGGACCCAAGUGUCUGGGCACCCAGCACCCCCAUUUCCAGGGGUCCCAGACACCCCCAUUUCCAGGGGACCCAGGCAUUUGGGGGCACCCAGCACCCCCAUUUCCAGGGCACCCAGGGGCCAGGGCACCCCAUUUUCCAGGGGACCCAGGGGUCUGGGCACCCCCUUUUCCAAGGGACCCAGACACCCCCAUUCCCAAGGGACCCAGACACCCCAAUUCCCAGGGCACCCACACAUCGGGGCACCCCCUUUUCCAAGGGACCCAGGGGUCCAGGAACCCCCUUUUCCAAGGGACCCAGACACCCCCAUUCCCAAGGGACCCAGACACCCCAAUUCCCAGGGCACCCACACAUCGGGGCACCCCCUUUUCCAAGGGACCCAGGGGUCCAGGAACCCCCUUUUCCAAGGGACCCAGACACCCCCAUUCCCAAGGGACCCAGACACCCCAAUUCCCAGGGCACCCACACAUCGGGGCACCCCCUUUUCCAAGGGACCCAGGGGUCCAGGAACCCCCUUUUCCAAGGGACCCAGACACCCCCAUUCCCAAGGGACCCAGACACCCCAAUUCCCAGGGCACCCACACAUCGGGGCACCCCCUUUUCCAAGGGACCCAGGGGUCCAGGAACCCCCUUUUCCAAGGGACCCAGACACCCCCAUUCCCAGGGGACCCUGGCAUUUGGAACCCCCAUUCACCCCCUUUCCCAAGGGACCCAGACACCCCAAUUCCGAGGGCACCCAGGUUUCUGGGCACCCCCUUUUCCAAGGGACCCAGACACCCCAAUUCCGAGGGCACCCAGAUAUCUGGGCACCCCCUUUUCCAAGGGACCCAGAUACCCCCAUUUCCAGGGCACCCAGGCAUCUAGGGGCACCCAGCACCCCAUUUUCCAAGGGACCCAGGCGUCUGGGCACCCCCUUUUCCAAGGGGUUCAGACACCCCCUUUUCCAGGGGACCCAGACACCCCCAUUUCCAGGGGACCCAGGGAUCUGGGGGCACCCAGCACCCCCUUUUCCAAGGGACCCAGACACCCCAAUUCCGAGGGCACCCAGAUAUCUGGGCACCCCCUUUUCCAAGGGACCCAGAUACCCCCAUUUCCAGGGCACCCAGGCAUCUAGGGGCACCCAGCACCCCAUUUUCCAAGGGACCCAGGCGUCUGGGCACCCCCUUUUCCAAGGGGUUCAGACACCCCCUUUUCCAGGGGACCCAGACACCCC
RNAcentral lists this long non-coding RNA (1284 nucleotides) under Calidris pugnax (ruff). RNAcentral describes it as "lncRNA (ENSCPUG00000000926.1)". The record is from RNAcentral. Lineage: Eukaryota; Metazoa; Chordata; Aves; Charadriiformes; Scolopacidae.